Molecule: ribosomal RNA, 465 nt
Filed under: Vreelandella stevensii
Lineage: Bacteria; Pseudomonadati; Pseudomonadota; Gammaproteobacteria; Oceanospirillales; Halomonadaceae
Description: partial 16S ribosomal RNA
Rfam family: Bacterial small subunit ribosomal RNA
Source: RNAcentral
CCUACGGGUGGCAGCAGUGGGGAAUAUUGGACAAUGGGGGGAACCCUGAUCCAGCCAUGCCGCGUGUGUGAAGAAGGCCCUCGGGUUGUAAAGCACUUUCAGUGAGGAAGAACGCCUGGUGGUUAAUACCCAUCAGGAAAGACAUCACUCACAGAAGAAGCACCGGCUAACUCCGUGCCAGCAGCCGCGGUAAUACGGAGGGUGCGAGCGUUAAUCGGAAUUACUGGGCGUAAAGCGCGCGUAGGUGGCUUGAUAAGCCGGUUGUGAAAGCCCCGGGCUCAACCUGGGAACGGCAUCCGGAACUGUCAAGCUAGAGUGCAGGAGAGGAAGGUAGAAUUCCCGGUGUAGCGGUGGAAUGCGUAGAGAUCGGGAGGAAUACCAGUGGCGAAGGCGGCCUUCUGGACUGACACUGACACUGAGGUGCGAAAGCGUGGGUAGCAAACAGGAUUAGAUACCCUUGUAGUC